UGUGUGUGAUAUAUGUGCUAGAGCUUCAGGGUCAAAAAUAUAGAGGAAGAAAGAGAGAAAGCCGAGAGAGAAAGAGAGAGAGAGUCCAUGAAUCUCAAGAAAUUGAAGGGAGAAACUCAAGAACUCAUCAAGGAACUCAAGAAUUCGAGCUCUAGCGGAACCUGAAAGUUUUGAAGAAGCAAUUAAAGAGGAAGCUUGGAAGAAAGCAAUGGAAGAAGAAAUUGAAGUCAUUGAAAAGAACAACACAUGGGAAUUGGUUACAAGACCACAAGGCUAGGAAAUCAUUAGGGUGAAGUGGAUUUAUAAAGUAAUAAAGUUGAAUUCGGAUGGUUCACUCCAAAGAAACAAGGCAAGGCUGGUCGCAAAAGGGUACACACAACAACCUGGAAUCGAUUUUCAAGAAACAUUUGCGCUGGUUGCACGACUUGACACCGUUCGAGCUUUCAUUGCAUUAGUAGCCCAAAAAGGUUGGUCAUUGUAUCAACUUGAUGUUAAAUCUGUGUUUUUAAAUGGAAAAUUAAAAGAGGAAGUAUAUGUUGAACAAACCCAAGGGUUUCUAAUGAAAGGAGAUGAAGACAAGGUGUAUAAAUUGAAGAAAGCAUUGUAUGGACUAAAGCAAGCUCCAAGAGCAUGGUAUAGCCAAAUUGAGUUCUAUUUCAUCAACACGGGUUUCAAGAAGAGCAAGAGUGAGCUAACCUUAUAUGUGAAAAAUCAAGUGAUUGGGGUGGCUGCACUGAUGAUAUGAAAAGCACCUCUGGGUAUGCAUUUUCCUUGGGUUCUGGAGUAUUUUCUUAGGCAUCAAAGAAGCAACAGUGUGGCGCAAUCAUCUGCAGAAGCUGAAUACGUUUAAGUGGGUUUGGCAACUUCCCAAGCAAUUUGGUUGAUAGCAGAAUAUGUUUGUGAAAAGCAAGAAGAUGGUACAUAAAUUUUUUGUGACAACAAAUUAGCAAUUGCCAUGGCUAAGAAUCCUAUUUUUCAUAGUCGCACUCGUCAUAUUGGAAUUAAACAUCAUUUUAUUCGAGAAGCAAUUGAAGAAGGCGAAGUGCAGCUUAAAUUCUGCAGGACAGAUGAACAAAUUGCAGGUAUAUUCACUAAGGCUCUUCCCAAAGAAAAAUUCUAGCAUUUCAAAGAGUUACUUGGAGUUAUGGAGCAGCACAUUAGGGGGGAGCAAUGUUGAUGUAAUGUGCUUGUUUAAUUUUGUAUCCAAACAAUCACUUGUGCUUAUUUAAUUCUAGCUAUGUUUUGGGUUGGGUUUUGUUAAUUAGAGUUAAUGUAUGUGGGGGAAAUUUGUUUAGAUGUUUUAUUGGUACUUGGGUUGAUAUAAUUUCAUAUACAAAGCUUGUAAGGGAAGCUAAAAAGGCAAUAAAAAAUCUGCUCAAGGGGCUGUUCAAGGUUGACCCCUUUUCUCCCCUGCUUUGCUCUUCUUCACAAUUUUCUGCAGGAAAAAAUAAAAUCUGAUUUUGUG
Camellia sinensis is the source of this 1465-nucleotide long non-coding RNA. RefSeq lists it as uncharacterized. Lineage: Eukaryota; Viridiplantae; Streptophyta; Magnoliopsida; Ericales; Theaceae. The record is from RefSeq and is a predicted model, not a curated record.